This is a long non-coding RNA of Rhagoletis pomonella (apple maggot), 233 nucleotides long. RefSeq lists it as uncharacterized. The record is from RefSeq and is a predicted model, not a curated record. Lineage: Eukaryota; Metazoa; Arthropoda; Insecta; Diptera; Tephritidae. The transcript has 3 exons.
CGUGGAUCCAUGAAUGAUGUUUUACGGUUAUUAUGAUCGAUGAAGAAUUGUUUACCGGAUUGAUCGAGUUUGGUCUCCCAGCAUGAAGUGUGCAGCAUAGAGUAGAAGUCUGGACGACAGAGCAUUAUAACAGCUGGAUGUACCGAAAUAUUGAGCAUUUGUAGAUGGCCUAAAUUAUUAUUACUAGAGCCAGAAGCAUUCGAGAGCCGAUUUUCGCUGGUAAUGGUACGUCG